RNAcentral lists this microRNA precursor (105 nucleotides) under Marmota monax (woodchuck). Lineage: Eukaryota; Metazoa; Chordata; Mammalia; Rodentia; Sciuridae. The record is from RNAcentral.
CUAUAAAUUAUCUAGGGAUCCUAUUAAAAUACAGGUUUUGACUCAGUAGGUCAAGAGAGAGACCUAAGAGUCUGCACUUCUAACAAGCUCCCAGGUAAUGUUGAU